AACGCUAGCUACAGGCUUAACACAUGCAAGUCGAGGGGCAGCAUCAUCAAAGCUUGCUUUGAUGGAUGGCGACCGGCGCACGGGUGAGUAACACGUAUCCAACCUGCCGACAACACUGGGAUAGCCUUUCGAAAGAAAGAUUAAUACCGGAUGGCAUAAUUAUUCCGCAUGGGAUAAUUAUUAAAGAAUUUCGGUUGUCGAUGGGGAUGCGUUCCAUUAGGCAGUUGGCGGGGUAACGGCCCACCAAACCUACGAUGGAUAGGGGUUCUGAGAGGAAGGUCCCCCACAUUGGAACUGAGACACGGUCCAAACUCCUACGGGAGGCAGCAGUGAGGAAUAUUGGUCAAUGGACGAGAGUCUGAACCAGCCAAGUAGCGUGAAGGAUGACUGCCCUAUGGGUUGUAAACUUCUUUUAUACGGGAAUAAAGUGAGCCACGUGUGGCUUUUUGUAUGUACCGUAUGAAUAAGGAUCGGCUAACUCCGUGCCAGCAGCCGCGGUAAUACGGAGGAUCCGAGCGUUAUCCGGAUUUAUUGGGUUUAAAGGGAGCGUAGGCGGGUUGUUAAGUCAGUUGUGAAAGUUUGCGGCUCAACCGUAAAAUUGCAGUUGAUACUGGCGACCUUGAGUGCAACAGAGGUAGGCGGAAUUCGUGGUGUAGCGGUGAAAUGCUUAGAUAUCACGAAGAACUCCGAUUGCGAAGGCAGCUUACUGGGAUUGUAACUGACGCUGAUGCUCGAAAGUGUGGGUAUCAAACAGGAUUAGAUACCCUGGUAGUCCACACAGUAAACGAUGAAUACUCGCUGUUGGCGAUAUACAGUCAGCGGCCAAGCGAAAGCAUUAAGUAUUCCGCCUGGGGAGUACGCCGGCAACGGUGAAACUCAAAGGAAUUGACGGGGGCCCGCACAAGCGGAGGAACAUGUGGUCUAAUUCGAUGAUACGCGAGGAACCUUACCCGGGCUUAAAUUGCAACUGACGGAACCGGAAACGGUUCUUUCUUCGGACAGUUGUGAAGGUGCUGCAUGGUUGUCGUCAGCUCGUGCCGUGAGGUGUCGGCUUAAGUGCCAUAACGAGCGCAACCCUUACGGGUAGUUACCAUCAGGUUAUGCUGGGGACUCUACCCGGACUGCCGUCGUAAGAUGUGAGGAAGGUGGGGAUGACGUCAAAUCAGCACGGCCCUUACGUCCGGGGCUACACACGUGUUACAAUGGAGGGUACAGAAGGCAGCUACACGGCGACGUGGUGCUAAUCCCAAAAGCCUCUCUCAGUUCGGAUUGGAGUCUGCAACCCGACUCCAUGAAGCUGGAUUCGCUAGUAAUCGCGCAUCAGCCACGGCGCGGUGAAUACGUUCCCGGGCCUUGUACACACCGCCCGUCAAGCCAUGAAAGCCGGGGGUAC
Molecule: ribosomal RNA, 1393 nt
Filed under: uncultured organism
Description: 16S ribosomal RNA
Rfam family: Bacterial small subunit ribosomal RNA
Source: RNAcentral